CUUCACUCUCUCUUCUCUCUGUCUUUCUCCAUCCCCCCUCUCGGUCCGACAAGAACACACACACACACACCCAAGCCCACACCUAUAGCUCUUUUCGAACCCCAUGGUUGUGUUUUGGACGUCAAAUCACGAAGAAACCACCUCGGAGACAUUUCCCAGUUUUCCAGCGAGCACCGUCCCUUUCGAGGCGAUUUCCGGCCAAACCACGGCGAGUUGGCCGGCGUGCGAGUUUCCGGCGAUCUCAGUGACUUUCGAGGUGUUUUCCAGCCAAACCACGGCGAGUUAGACGUCGUGUGAGGGGCAAUUAUCGAUGGCGUUUCCUUCUUCGCUAGAUGACGU
Long non-coding RNA from Pyrus x bretschneideri (Chinese white pear), 339 nucleotides. RefSeq lists it as uncharacterized. The record is from RefSeq and is a predicted model, not a curated record. NCBI's taxonomy places the organism in Eukaryota, Viridiplantae, Streptophyta, Magnoliopsida, Rosales, Rosaceae. The transcript has 3 exons.